Molecule: ribosomal RNA, 780 nt
Filed under: Ascochyta clinopodiicola
Lineage: Eukaryota; Fungi; Ascomycota; Dothideomycetes; Pleosporales; Didymellaceae
Description: SSU rRNA
Rfam family: Eukaryotic small subunit ribosomal RNA
Source: RNAcentral
GCCCUAUCAACUUUCGAUGGUAAGGUAUUGGCUUACCAUGGUUUCAACGGGUAACGGGGAAUUAGGGUUCGAUUCCGGAGAGGGAGCCUGAGAAACGGCUACCACAUCCAAGGAAGGCAGCAGGCGCGCAAAUUACCCAAUCCCGACACGGGGAGGUAGUGACAAUAAAUACUGAUACAGGGCUCUUUUGGGUCUUGUAAUUGGAAUGAGUACAAUUUAAACCUCUUAACGAGGAACAAUUGGAGGGCAAGUCUGGUGCCAGCAGCCGCGGUAAUUCCAGCUCCAAUAGCGUAUAUUAAAGUUGUUGCAGUUAAAAAGCUCGUAGUUGAAACUUGGGCCUGGCUGGCAGGUCCGCCUCACCGCGUGUACUUGUCCGGCCGGGCCUUUCCUUCUGGAGAACCUCAUGCCCUUCACUGGGUGUGUUGGGGAACCAGGACUUUUACUUUGAAAAAAUUAGAGUGUUCAAAGCAGGCCUUUGCUCGAAUACGUUAGCAUGGAAUAAUAGAAUAGGACGUGCGGUCCUAUUUUGUUGGUUUCUAGGACCGCCGUAAUGAUUAAUAGGGACAGUCGGGGGCAUCAGUAUUCAAUUGUCAGAGGUGAAAUUCUUGGAUUUAUUGAAGACUAACUACUGCGAAAGCAUUUGCCAAGGAUGUUUUCAUUAAUCAGUGAACGAAAGUUAGGGGAUCGAAGACGAUCAGAUACCGUCGUAGUCUUAACCGUAAACUAUGCCGACUAGGGAUCGGGCGAUGUUCUUUUUCUGACUCGCUCGGCACCUUACGA